GGGAAGGUUCGUCCGCCCUGGGUUAGUCGGGACCUAAGCUGAGGCCGAAAGGCGUAGGUGAUGGACAACAGGUUGAUAUUCCUGUACUACCGAUAACCGUUUGAGAGAAGGGAUGACACAGUAGGAUAAGCUAAGCACACUGUUGGUUAUGUGUGCCCAAGCAUUGAGGCAGUCAAAGUAGGCAAAUCCGCUUUGAUAAUGCUGGGAUGUGAUGGGGAGCGAAAUUUAGUAGCGAAGUAGCUGAUUUCACACUGUCAAGAAAAGUCUCUAUCGAGGUUAAAGGUACCCGUACCGCAAACCGACACAGGUGGGUGAGGAGAGUAUCCUAAGGCCAGCGAGAGAACUGUUGUUAAGGAACUCGGCAAAAUGACCCCGUAACUUAGG
Molecule: ribosomal RNA, 384 nt
Filed under: Clostridioides difficile
Lineage: Bacteria; Bacillati; Bacillota; Clostridia; Peptostreptococcales; Peptostreptococcaceae
Description: bacterial LSU rRNA
Rfam family: Bacterial large subunit ribosomal RNA
Source: RNAcentral